GACGAACGCUGGCGGCGUGCUUAACACAUGCAAGUCGAACGGAAAGGCCCUGCUUCUGUGGGGUGUUCGAGUGGCGAACGGGUGAGUAACACGUGAGUAACAUGCUCUCGACUUUGGGAUAACUUCAGGAAAAUGGGGCUAAUACCGGAUCGGAGCUCCUGCUGCACGGAGGGGGUUGGAAAGUUUCGGCGGUUGGGGAUGGAUUCGCGGCUUAUAGGAUUGUUGGUGGGGUAGUGGUUCACCACGGCUGUGCCUGAUAGCCGGCCUUAGAGGGUGGCCAGCCACAAUAGGACUGAGAGACGGCGCAGUCUGCAACAUUGGACAACGGUGGGAAAUAUUACGCAGUGAGCGGGAGCCUAUUACGACGACGCCGCGUGCGGGAUGUCCUCCUUCCGGUUGUGAACCGCGUUCACCUGAUACGAAGCGUGAUUGACGUUAAUGGGUGAAGAAGCACCGGCUAACUACGUG
This 468-nucleotide ribosomal RNA is filed under the name uncultured bacterium. RNAcentral's name for it is "partial 16S ribosomal RNA". It matches the Rfam family "Bacterial small subunit ribosomal RNA", at positions 28 to 507 of the family's 1533-position model. The record is from RNAcentral.